GAUAAACGCUGGCGGCGUGCCUAACACAUGCAAGUCGAACGCCCUUUUGCGCAAGUGAGAGGGAGUGGCGGACGGGUGAGUACCACGUGGGUACCUACCUUGAGGUGAGGAAUACCACCGAGAAAUCGGUGACAAGACCGCAUACGCUUGGCAACAAGCAAAGUCUCGCAAGAGACGCCACAAGAUGGGCCUGCGCCUGAUUAGCUAGUUGGUGAGGUAAUGGCNCACCAAGGCGACGAUCAGUAGCUGGUCUGAGAGGAUGAUCAGCCACACUGGGAUUGAGAACGGCCCAGACUCCUAC
RNAcentral lists this ribosomal RNA (301 nucleotides) under uncultured bacterium. Its description in RNAcentral is "bacterial SSU rRNA". It matches the Rfam family "Bacterial small subunit ribosomal RNA", at positions 28 to 342 of the family's 1533-position model. The record is from RNAcentral.